Molecule: ribosomal RNA, 540 nt
Filed under: Pseudomonas monteilii
Lineage: Bacteria; Pseudomonadati; Pseudomonadota; Gammaproteobacteria; Pseudomonadales; Pseudomonadaceae
Description: bacterial SSU rRNA
Rfam family: Bacterial small subunit ribosomal RNA
Source: RNAcentral
GCCUAGGAAUCUGCCUGGUAGUGGGGGACAACGUUUCGAAAGGAACGCUAAUACCGCAUACGUCCUACGGGAGAAAGCAGGGGACCUUCGGGCCUUGCGCUAUCAGAUGAGCCUAGGUCGGAUUAGCUAGUUGGUGGGGUAAUGGCUCACCAAGGCGACGAUCCGUAACUGGUCUGAGAGGAUGAUCAGUCACACUGGAACUGAGACACGGUCCAGACUCCUACGGGAGGCAGCAGUGGGGAAUAUUGGACAAUGGGCGAAAGCCUGAUCCAGCCAUGCCGCGUGUGUGAAGAAGGUCUUCGGAUUGUAAAGCACUUUAAGUUGGGAGGAAGGGCAGUAAGUUAAUACCUUGCUGUUUUGACGUUACCGACAGAAUAAGCACCGGCUAACUCUGUGCCAGCAGCCGCGGUAAUACAGAGGGUGCAAGCGUUAAUCGGAAUUACUGGGCGUAAAGCGCGCGUAGGUGGUUCGUUAAGUUGGAUGUGAAAGCCCCGGGCUCAACCUGGGAACUGCAUCCAAAACUGGCGAGCUAGAGUACGG